UUUAAUGGCCGCAGUAAUUAUCAAUAGUUUUUUAAUUAAAAGCUUGAAUGAAUGGUUGGACGAAAUAAAAUCUGUCUUUAUUUAAUUUAAAUUAGAAUUUAAUUUUUAAGUUAAAAAGCUUAAAUUUUAUUAAAAGACGAGAAGACCCUAUAGAUCUUUAUUUUAAUAAUUAUUUAUUUAAUUAAGAUUUAUUUAUUUUAAAUUUAUAUUAAAAUUUUAUUGGGGUAAUAAAAAGAUUAAUAUAAUUCUUUUUAAUGUUAUUUAUAUAUAAAUAUAAUUUGUGAUCCAUUAAUAUUGAUUAUAAGAUUAAGUUACCUUAGGGAUAACAGCGUAAUUUUUUUAGAGAGUUCAUAUUGAUAAAAAAGUUUGCGACCUCGAUGUUGGAUUAAAGAUUAAUUUAGGUGUAGAAGUUUAAAUUUUUGGUCUGUUCGACCAUUAAAUCUUUACAUGAUCUGAGUUUAGACCGGCGUAAGCCAGGUCGGUUUCUAUCUUUAUUAAAUUAUAAUAUUUUAGUACGAAAGGACCAAAUAUUAAUUAAAUUAAUUUUUAUUUUGAUUAUUAUUAUUAUUUUGGCAGAUUAGUGCGAUGAAUUUAGAAUUCUUUUAUGUAAUAUUUACAAAUAAUACUUGUUUUCUUUUGAUAUUAUUUUUAUAUUUGUUAGAAUAAUUUUAUUAGUUAUUUGUGUUUUAAUUGGGGUAGCUUUUUUGACUUUAUUAGAGCGUAA
RNAcentral lists this ribosomal RNA (724 nucleotides) under Geocharis sp. 4 CA-2016. Its description in RNAcentral is "partial large subunit ribosomal RNA". The stretch from base 322 to 480 matches the Rfam family "Bacterial large subunit ribosomal RNA", at positions 2473 to 2632 of the family's 2925-position model. Lineage: Eukaryota; Metazoa; Arthropoda; Insecta; Coleoptera; Carabidae. The record is from RNAcentral.